AACUGUGAGCUCAUGCCCUGAGUCAGAUGCUUAACCGACUGAGCCACCCAGGCGCCCGGGAAUGCACUUUCCCUCAUCUUGGAAUCGCCAGCCAAUGACUCGUGAGCAAAAUUGAAUGCGUCGCUUCUGGGCUACGGCCAUCAGUUCUGCUGAAAGUUCUCAAAUGGUCUUCCUCUGCUACAGUGAGGGCAACGUUCAAGAUGGCGGCAGCUCUGUCCCAGGGGUCCUGUCACUGAACAGAUCCCCUGGCUGACGUGCGAUCGACAUGGAGCCUAGUUGGGAUGGUUGGUUCUAUGUGUCAACUUCACGGAGCUAAGGGAUGCCCAAACAGCUGGUGAAACAUCAUUUCUGGGAGCGUCUGGGAGAGUGUUUCCAGAAGACAUUAGCAUUUGAAUUGGCAGAUCGGGUAAAGAGAUGUCUUCACUCGUGUGGCCCGAGGUUCUGAUCAGAACAGAAAGGAGGAAGGGUGAGUUCUCACUCUCAGCUUGGGGACCCCAUCUUCUCCUGCCCUUGGACAUUGGCGCUCUCCGCUCUCAAGCCUUUCGGACUCGGACUGAGUUGUGCCACCAGCUUUCCGGGAUCGCCAGCUUGCAGACGAGAGAGGGUGGGCCUUCUCAACCUCUACCAUCAUGUAAGCAACUCCUGUAAUAAGCCUCCUCUUACAUAUACGUCACUCUAUAUAUCCUAUGGGCUCUGUUUCUCCGGAGAACCCUGGCUAAUACAGGAAGCCGCGAAAAAUCUCCUGAGUGAUACAAAAAGCAAAUGUAUUGUCCUACGUUGAUUAAAAGUCAACACUUCCAGUCGGGCCCUGUGGGGCUUUCUCAGCCACGCUGUCGGCCCCAAGGUUCUGCAUAGUUUUGUGCCCUCCCAACCCUGCAGUAGAUCAACACAGCCCGCAGGCUCCCUUCUGGGCAGACAGACCUGGAAGAUAGUGGGGGGCUGGGCAAGGAAGGGGUCAGCGACAGCAGGAAGUGAGCUCUGCCCUGGCUAGAGGCCAGCGUCUUUCUGGAUCAGAAGCCACCAUUCAAGACACUUCUCCAAAGAAGACAUCCGGAUGGCCCACAGGCACAUGAGAAGAUGCUCAACGUUGCUCCUCAUCAGGGAAAUACAAAUCAAAACCACACUCAGAUAUCACCUCACGCCGAUCAGAGU
Molecule: long non-coding RNA, 1152 nt
Organism: Felis catus (domestic cat)
Lineage: Eukaryota; Metazoa; Chordata; Mammalia; Carnivora; Felidae
Exons: 3
Source: RefSeq, a predicted model, not a curated record